UCUCUGAGUGGAGUUCCCAAGUAUGUCGGGGCACGAGAAACCUUGACAGAAUUUGCCGCGACCAUGCGGUAAGGCUAAAUAUGUUCAACUGACCGAUAGUGAACCAGUACCGUGAGGGAAAGGCGAAAAGAACCCCGAUGAGGGGAGUGAAAUAGAACCUGAAACCGUCAAUCUACAAGCAGUGGGACCGCUAUGGUUUACCAGCGGAACCGCGUGCCUUUUGCAUAAUGAGCCGGCUAGUUAUUUUCAGUGGCGAGGUGAAGCCGAGGAGGCGAAGCCGUAGGGAAACCGAGUCUGAACAGGGCGCCAGUCGCUGGGAAUAGACGCGAAACGGGAUGAUCUAUCCUUGACCAGGAUGAAGUCCGGGUGACACCGGAUGGAGGUCCGAACCAGUGUGGGUUGAAAACCGCUUGGAUGAGUUGAGGAUAGGGGUGAAAGGCCAAUCAAAUUCCGUGAUAGCUGGUUCUCCCCGAAAUAGCUUUAGGGCUAGCGUCGGAUGUUUCGUCGUGCAGGUAGAGACCUGAAUGGACUAGGGGGCACACCCGCUUACCGAAUCCAACCAAUCUUCGAAUGGCACGCCGUGAAGUCCGGCAGUCAGACAGUGGGCGAUAAGGUCCAUUGUCGAGAGGGAAAGAACCCAGAUCGCCAGCUAAGGUCCCAAAAUCUCUGCUAAGUGGAAAAGGAUGUGGAUGUGCUUAGACAGCCAGGAGGUUAGCUUAGAAGCAGCUAUCCUUUAAAGAAAGCGUAAUAGCUCACUGGUCAAGCGGGUCUGUGCCGACAAUUCAACGGGGCUCAAGCAGAGUACCGAAGCUGCGAACGUAAGUGGUAGGGGAGCAUUCCCUAGGCCUGCGAAGGUUGACCGUGAGGACAGCUGGAGGCAUGGGAAGAGACUCUGUCGGCAUAAGUAGCGUAAAGACGGGCGAGAACCCCGUCCACCGUAAGACUAAGGAUUCCAACGCAAGGUCAAUCCGCGUUGGGUUAGUCGGACCCUAAGCUGAGGCCGAGAGGCGUAGGCGAUGGAAAGCUGGUUAAUAUUCCAGCACCAUGAAUACCUCGUUUGUACGAUGCAGGGACGCAGAAAGGUAGUCGCGCAGCUCUAUGGAAUGUGCUGUGAAAUCUUUCAAGGGUGAGACUUAGGGAAGUCCGGGUCUCAUGAGCCCAAGAAUUAUGACGAAAGGCGAUGAUCCUACGCUGCCGAGAAAAGCUGCUAAGGAGAGGUAUUUGUGUCCGUACCGCAAACCGACACAGGUAGUCGAGGAGAGAAUCCUCAGGUGUUUGAGUGAAGUGUGCUGAAGGAACUCGGCAAAUUAACCCCGUAACUUCGGGAGAAGGGGUACCACGGUAGGGUUCAUAGCCCGAGGUGGUGGCACAUAAAUGUCCCAGGCGACUGUUUAACAAAAACACAGGUCUCUGCAAACUCCAAAGAGGAGGUAUAGGGGCUGACGCCUGCCCGGUGCCGGAAGGUCAAGAGGAGCGGUUAGCGCAAGCGAAGCUGCGAAUUUAAGCCCCGGUGAACGGCGGCCGUAACUAUAACGGUCCUAAGGUAGCGAAAUUCCUUGUCGGGUAAGUUCCGACCUGCACGAAUGGCGUAACGAUCUGGGAACUGUCUCCAGCACAUGCUCAGCGAACUUGUAGCACCGGUGAAGAUGCCGGUUACCCGCACUUAGACGGAAAGACCCCGUGCACCUUUACUACACCUUGACAUUGAGGUUGGCGUUGGACUGUGCAGGAUAGGUGGGAGGCUGUGAAACUGGCUCGUUAGGGUCGGUGGAGCCGACGUUGAGAUACCACCCUGUGCAACGCUGAUCUCUAACUCGCACCCGUCAUCCGGGUGGAAGACAAUGUCAGGCGGGUAGUUUGACUGGGGCGGUCGCCUCCUAAAGCGUAACGGAGGCGUGCGAAGGUUCCCUCAGGCUGUUUGGAAAUCAGCCGCAGAGCGCAAUAGUAUAAGGGAGCUUGACUGCGAGUCAGACACGACGAGCAGGUGCGAAAGCAGGCUAUAGUGAUCCGGUGGUUCCGCAUGGAAGGGCCAUCGCUCAACGGAUAAAAGGUACGCCGGGGAUAACAGGCUGAUCU
Molecule: ribosomal RNA, 2076 nt
Filed under: wastewater metagenome
Description: bacterial LSU rRNA
Rfam family: Bacterial large subunit ribosomal RNA
Source: RNAcentral